AUGCAGUCGAGCGGUAGCACAGAGAGCUUGCUCUCGGGUGACGAGCGGCGGACGGGUGAGUAAUGUCUGGGAAACUGCCUGAUGGAGGGGGAUAACUACUGGAAACGGUAGCUAAUACCGCAUAAUGUCGCAAGACCAAAGUGGGGGACCUUCGGGCCUCAUGCCAUCAGAUGUGCCCAGAUGGGAUUAGCUAGUAGGUGGGGUAACGGCUCACCUAGGCGACGAUCCCUAGCUGGUCUGAGAGGAUGACCAGCCACACUGGAACUGAGACACGGUCCAGACUCCUACGGGAGGCAGCAGUGGGGAAUAUUGCACAAUGGGCGCAAGCCUGAUGCAGCCAUGCCGCGUGUGUGAAGAAGGCCUUCGGGUUGUAAAGCACUUUCAGCGGGGAGGAAGGCGUUAAGGUUAAUAACCUUGGCGAUUGACGUUACCCGCAGAAGAAGCACCGGCUAACUCCGUGCCAGCAGCCGCGGUAAUACGGAGGGUGCAAGCGUUAAUCGGAAUUACUGGGCGUAAAGCGCACGCAGGCGGUCUGUCAAGUCGGAUGUGAAAUCCCCGGGCUCAACCUGGGAACUGCAUUCGAAACUGGCAGGCUAGAGUCUUGUAGAGGGGGGUAGAAUUCCAGGUGUAGCGGUGAAAUGCGUAGAGAUCUGGAGGAAUACCGGUGGCGAAGGCGGCCCCCUGGACAAAGACUGACGCUCAGGUGCGAAAGCGUGGGGAGCAAACAGGAUUAGAUACCCUGGUAGUCCACGCCGUAAACGAUGUCGAUUUGGAGGUUGUGCCCUUGAGGCGUGGCUUCCGGAGCUAACGCGUUAAAUCGACCGCCUGGGGAGUACGGCCGCAAGGUUAAAACUCAAAUGAAUUGACGGGGGCCCGCACAAGCGGUGGAGCAUGUGGUUUAAUUCGAUGCAACGCGAAGAACCUUACCUGGUCUUGACAUCCACAGAACUUUCCAGAGAUGGAUUGGUGCCUUCGGGAACUGUGAGACAGGUGCUGCAUGGCUGUCGUCAGCUCGUGUUGUGAAAUGUUGGGUUAAGUCCCGCAACGAGCGCAACCCUUAUCCUUUGUUGCCAGCGGUCCGGCCGGGAACUCAAAGGAGACUGCCAGUGAUAAACUGGAGGAAGGUGGGGAUGACGUCAAGUCAUCAUGGCCCUUACGACCAGGGCUACACACGUGCUACAAUGGCAUAUACAAAGAGAAGCGACCUCGCGAGAGCAAGCGGACCUCAUAAAGUAUGUCGUAGUCCGGAUUGGAGUCUGCAACUCGACUCCAUGAAGUCGGAAUCGCUAGUAAUCGUAGAUCAGAAUGCUACGGUGAAUACGUUCCCGGGCCUUGUACACACCGCCCGUCACACCAUGGGAGUGGGUUGCAAAAGAAGUAGGUAGCUUAACCUUCGGGAGGG
Molecule: ribosomal RNA, 1402 nt
Filed under: Klebsiella pneumoniae
Lineage: Bacteria; Pseudomonadati; Pseudomonadota; Gammaproteobacteria; Enterobacterales; Enterobacteriaceae
Description: bacterial SSU rRNA
Rfam family: Bacterial small subunit ribosomal RNA
Source: RNAcentral